Molecule: non-coding RNA, 241 nt
Organism: Cicer arietinum (chickpea)
Lineage: Eukaryota; Viridiplantae; Streptophyta; Magnoliopsida; Fabales; Fabaceae
Source: RefSeq, a predicted model, not a curated record
AAAAAAGAAAAUAGGAACGGUGACGGCGCAUCUGUGAAGCAAAAUACACUAAUCUUUUUUAUCCUACGUAUCUAAGAUCGAUCAGAUCUUCAAGAAAUCAAAUUUGACAACAAUGAAUAACCAAGGUCAAAAUGAAGGAACUAGUAACAACCAUGCAAACACACAAGAUGUUGAACAACAAUCCUCUCCUGCUGGACCAACAAUUUAUGUUCCAAAUCCAGAACUAAAGGCAGUCAUAGAA